RNAcentral lists this small RNA (81 nucleotides) under Flavobacterium sp. 5. RNAcentral describes it as "Flavo-1 RNA". It matches the Rfam family "Flavo-1 RNA". Lineage: Bacteria; Pseudomonadati; Bacteroidota; Flavobacteriia; Flavobacteriales; Flavobacteriaceae. The record is from RNAcentral.
UCCUAGCCCCGAUAGUAGUGAAAAUCCUUUUUGUUUUUGUUGCCAAAAACAAAAAGAUUGCAACGGAUAGCUGGAUUAGCU